GCCGGGUGUGGUGGCACACGCCUGCAAUCCCAGCGGUUUGGGAGGCUGAGAUAGGAGGAUUGCAGGUUCAAAGGCAGCCUCAGCAACAGCAAGGUACUAAGCAACUCAGUGAGACCCUGUCUCUA
This 125-nucleotide small RNA is filed under the name Marmota monax (woodchuck). Lineage: Eukaryota; Metazoa; Chordata; Mammalia; Rodentia; Sciuridae. The record is from RNAcentral.